Molecule: non-coding RNA, 190 nt
Organism: Natranaerobius trueperi
Lineage: Bacteria; Bacillati; Bacillota; Clostridia; Natranaerobiales; Natranaerobiaceae
Source: Rfam
GUGGAGGUGACUCUAUCAUCUGAAGGAAGUCAGCGGCAAAUUUUCGCCCCGAGGGACACAAAUCUCAUACACUCCAAGCAAACUGAAGAGUCUCGAAUCGUGGUUAAGUCGUAGGUUGAGAAUCUUAUUUCACUUGAAGUUUCUUCAUGUAAAGCGUAUGAAUGGGGUAAUUCCCGGAAAGCUUAUAGGC